CAAUAGCGUAUAUUAAAGUUGUUGCAGUUAAAAAGCUCGUAGUUGGACUUCUGCGGGUGGCGGCCGGUCGUGCUCGAAACGGGCGUGAACUUGGCGUGCUGCCCGCAUCUUUGGGGAGAUUGUGCGUGGCAUUAAGUUGUCGUGCAUGGGAUUCUCAUCAUUUACUGUGAAAAAAUUAGAGUGUUUAAAGCAGGCCUUUGCCUUGAAUACAUUAGCAUGGAAUAAUAAGAUAGGACCGUUGUCUAUUUUGUUGGUUUACAGAUGUCGGUAAUGAUUAAUAGGGAUAGUUGGGGGUAUUCGUAUUCAGUUGUCAGAGGUGAAAUUCUUGGAUUUUCGGAAGACGCACGACUGCGAAAGCAUUUACCAAGGAUGUUUUCAUUA
This 381-nucleotide ribosomal RNA is filed under the name uncultured eukaryote. Its description in RNAcentral is "partial 18S ribosomal RNA". It matches the Rfam family "Eukaryotic small subunit ribosomal RNA", at positions 592 to 975 of the family's 1831-position model. The record is from RNAcentral.